GGCUCGUUGGUCUAGGGGUAUGAUUCUCGCUUUGGGUGCGAGAGGUCCCGGUUCCAAUCCCGGACGAGCCC
This 71-nucleotide transfer RNA is filed under the name Dallia pectoralis (Alaska blackfish). RNAcentral describes it as "tRNA-Pro". It matches the Rfam family "tRNA". Rfam says of the family: Transfer RNA (tRNA) molecules are approximately 80 nucleotides in length. Their secondary structure includes four short double-helical elements and three loops (D, anti-codon, and T loops). Further hydrogen bonds mediate the characteristic L-shaped molecular structure. tRNAs have two regions of fundamental functional importance: the anti-codon, which is responsible for specific mRNA codon recognition, and the 3' end, to which the tRNAs corresponding amino acid is attached (by aminoacyl-tRNA synthetases). tRNAs cope with the degeneracy of the genetic code in two manners: having more than one tRNA (with a specific anti-codon) for a particular amino acid; and 'wobble' base-pairing, i.e. permitting non-standard base-pairing at the 3rd anti-codon position. Lineage: Eukaryota; Metazoa; Chordata; Actinopteri; Esociformes; Umbridae. The record is from RNAcentral.